ACAUCAUCACUCUGACUGCCCAGGCAUCCAAGUUCCAUCCCGACAUCAUCACGUUCCGCUGGUUCUGUGAGGGUGGGGAAUUAAGCCCGGUGACGGUACCCCCCAAGCUGGCGGCCCCUCGGCCCGACACACAGGGAUUUUUCUCUGCUGUGAGCCAAUGCAAGCUGCUCCGAACAGAGCUGGAGCGAGGAGGGACCAGGGUCUGGGUCAGCAUCCACCACAUCGCCCUCAAGCAGCCCGUCACACGGGAAACCAGGGGGUUCAUUAAGAAGCCUUUGGUGUCUGAAAUUACAAGCUUCCCGUCAGCCACUUCCUCUCACAACCUAUCUCUUACCCUGGGUUGUGACAUCACUGACUUCUACCCCCCCCGACAUCUCUAUAACCUGGUUCCACGUUUGGAAAUCAGAAGAUGGAGAGAGGGAAGAACCAUGGGAUGAAGAACAGGAGCAGAAUAGAGAAGAGGUUAAACAAGGGUCUGAAAUCUGGGGACCUCUGCUGACCCAUCCAAGAACCUUCCGGGUCACCGCAAUGCUGCGGGAUGUGAAGGUUGGGGAUGUGGGAUCCCAAAAAGGACAUCAUAUUGUGUGCAGAGUAGAACACAGCUCCAUGCAAAUGCCCAUUGAAAGAGUCUGGAGGCAGGUGCAUAUAGCCCCUCCCAUCAUCCCCUCGUCACUUUCAGUUAACUGGACCAGUGAAGGUGUGGGACUCUUCUCCCUGCUUCUAACUGGCGGGAGCCCUUGGCCAAAGCUACUUUGGGCCGGUGGAGGCACCACUCUCACCCAGCUCCUCUCAACAGAGACCAAGACAGUGAACAAGGACGGGAGAUGUGAGUUCAGGAGCACUUGUGCUCUGGUGCGGUCCGCCGAACCGCAGAUUAAGGAUGAAAAGAAGCUGGGGAACGGACGUGCACAAAACUUGAGGACACCAGAUUUGGAAAAUGAAUCGAUCACGUUCAUAGAUGAGGAUGAAGACGAUGGAGUGAGAAGGGGUGUCAAGAAGAGCCCAAAACAGAGAGAAGUGAAGAAGUAUGAGGAAGAGAAUUUAGAAAAUGGGGCUAAAGAGUUGGGGAUCGACCCGUCUCACAUCAACACAGUAUAUGUAAGCAAAGAAGGAGGACUGGAACAACGUCUGAGGGUUACUGUGGAGAUCACUCAUCCUGCAUUUGCUCUGCCAGUCUAUCUGACAUGGACAGAUCUAAAGGAGGACACAUGACACUGGCUCCCACUGGAACAGAAGUGCCCGUUUUCUGUAUAUAGUUUGGUGUAUAGAUCAAUGUCCAGUACUCUUCUGACUGCUGUAGAACCCCCUGGAUCUGAUCAAGCCUUAACUACUACUGAUGUUUCCUGCCCUGUUCCUAUGCAAGUACCGAAUUCUGAUGCAGAUAGCAGGUUAUGUGGAUUAUUUAUACUAAAAUGCUUUGAAAUAAUGGAUCUUGUAUGUGACCUGAAAUAAAUAUACC
This is a long non-coding RNA of Denticeps clupeoides (denticle herring), 1459 nucleotides long. Lineage: Eukaryota; Metazoa; Chordata; Actinopteri; Clupeiformes; Denticipitidae. The record is from Ensembl.